UUCAUUCUCCAAUGUCGUACAUUCUGCAAAUCAUGGAAUGCCCUCGUCACAAGCAACGAUUUCCUAUCCGCUCAUCACAAGUUAACCAAAUCGAUCAUCGAAAAUGGAAAUCAAAUGCUAUUGAUCAGGUACUUCGAUCGAAAAUGGAGGCAUGUUGAUUUUGGUUUCACAGGAAACCCUAUGCGUCGAUUGAGUAGUAAUUAGGUUUAAUUGCACCGAGAGAUGAAAUUGAGGAGAAAGGAAGAGGGGAUAGGGAUCCAGGACAUCCAAUUAGGAAGCAAAUUAAUUCUUCUUGUGAAAGGCAACAGUAUUUGUCGCAAAUGAGGGCGUUAGAUAUGGGGGUUGAAGAUGAAGGGAGGUUGUUGAUAAUUGGGAUGGUGAUGUUGGGAUUGUUGUCGAUGUUUUUGAGCCAUUUUCCAUUGUACAGAAUUGAGAGGCAUUUGCUCAUCCCUUGCCAUCCUAUGGAUAAUAGAAAUUAUAUGCUCGAGACCAGAAGUCAAUAUAGACAAUGCUUGAAGAACCUUUCCACUAUGUGAAAUUCUUGCAGCUUCAAAUUAAGCUGCUAAGCUCAGAUUACAUGUGGGUUUAGGUUUUAAAGAGGAAAAGAAAGAAAACAUAGAGGGACGAUCGUGUAUUCUAGUAGAAUGUAUUCAAACAUAAUGUCAUUGACAUUGUGUUCUUAAAAAAUGGAGCCAUGUUAAUAUAGCUAUUGAAGCUGAUGCUUGAAGAACGGACCACGAAAUUUGAAUGACGUCUCUUAGCAACAUUAUUCUUUUAGAAUGUAUUGGUGUCUUUGUUUGAUUUUGAUGUUUUUUUUUCAAGAUUUGAAAGUUUUUUUAGUUUUAUUUUUUAACAAUAAAUAUAAUUCUUAGCAAUUGUUACAUGUAUUCUAUAAGAAUUAAUGUAAUUUUUGUUUUAAUUCUUCA
This is a long non-coding RNA of Lactuca sativa (garden lettuce), 926 nucleotides long. RefSeq lists it as uncharacterized. The record is from RefSeq and is a predicted model, not a curated record. NCBI's taxonomy places the organism in Eukaryota, Viridiplantae, Streptophyta, Magnoliopsida, Asterales, Asteraceae.